RNAcentral lists this unclassified non-coding RNA (175 nucleotides) under soil metagenome. Its description in RNAcentral is "partial contains 5.8S ribosomal RNA, internal transcribed spacer 2, and large subunit ribosomal RNA". The record is from RNAcentral.
AAGACUAUAGACCUGCGGAGUACCUGCGGAGGGAUCAUUAGAGGGGUUGAGGAGCGCGCCUGGCUGGUCUUGGCUGGCUUGGCGGCCUCCGCACACAUUUACGCUUGUCUGGUUUGGCUGAGCAAGUCUGCAAAAUAAAAAUGCAUUUCUUUACAACUUUUAGCAACGGAUCUCU